GUCCCCGCCCGGUUGUCAGGAGUGAGCAGGACGCUGCACGCGAGAAUUCAAAGCUUUAUUUACCGCCCCCCCCACCCCCAACUCCCCAAAAAAUAUUCAGUUUACAGAUAGGCGUGCGCUCCCGGCCACAUGCAGGCAGUGCGAACGAGCACAGCUAAGGCGUGGAGUUUGGGAUUUUGAGGAGGAGGGGGCGAACGGAAAGAGAGGAACGGGAAAGGAAAGGGUCGCGCAUAUACACGUCACAGCUAAGGGGAAACAGUAAAGAAACGACAUUGGGCGAUGUUGAGUUUCCACCGUAAUUUAGUUAGUCUUGUUCCCGCGUGUGUCUCUGAGCGCCAAGCAGUCCACGGUGCCACUUCCUCUCCGGAGCCGUCGGCGAGCGGUCUCCGCCAGGCGCCAGCCUCGCUUGCACGGGGCUGUUACCCAAACGCCCCAUUUCACCUUUGAGCCGCACUUAAAGGGCAUCAACUGGCGCUGACAACACAGAACUGAGAGCUCAUCAGGAGAGAGGACACGCUUUUAAUCGAAUAGAACCGGAGAAGUGGUGUCAUUGUCCAACGAGCCCGCUGUGCUGCGCCUGUGCCCGCACUCGAAGGCAAGGAGCACCGCCGCUUGCCGUAGCAUAGCACGCCUGACGCUCGCCGUUGGGGGUGGGAGGUUGUGUUAGCCUCAAAUUGUCUUUUAUUCCACAAACUGCUCGGUUUACUGAUGGAAGCCUUUACUCGAUAGUCCGUCUCCCUUCCUCUAACCUUGGGUUAGAGGAAAUCUCCGGAUUUGACACUCGGGCUCUGUCCUCGCCAAGUGGGGUGCUGGCUGGAUCACCACCUCUCUCCCUCCCCGACGCUUGCCGCGCCUCACCUGUCUGCGGCUCUGGCAACGAGACCCCCCGCCCCCAGCCGCCACCGAGCCCCAACAUGGCAGGCAACCUAAAGAAAGGCGGGGGGCUCAUCGGAAUGAUGAAGGAUGCUUUCCAGCCACACCACCACCACCACCUUCAUUCGCACCACCAGCCCGGGGCCGUGGACAAAAAGACAGUGGAAAAGUGCUGGAAACUGAUGGAUAAGGUGGUGCGCUUGUGCCAAAACCCCAAAUUGGCCCUGAAGAACAGCCCCCCUUACAUCCUGGACCUGUUACCAGAUACAUACCAGCACCUGCGCACGGUUUUGUCACGCUACGAGGGCAAAAUGGAAACCCUGGGGGAAAAUGAGUAUUUUCGAGUCUUCAUGGAGAACUUGACCAAGAAGACCAAGCAAACCAUCAGUUUGUUCAAGGAGGGCAAGGAGCGCAUGUACGAGGAGAACUCGCAACCCAGGAGGAACCUCACCAAGCUGUCUUUGAUCUUCAGCCACAUGCUGGCCGAGCUGAAGGCCAUUUUUCCAAACGGCUUGUUUCAGGGUGACAAUUUUCGCAUCACCAAGGCUGAUGCUGCAGAGUUCUGGAGGCGUGCCUUCGGGGACAAGACCAUCGUGCCUUGGAAGGUGUUCCGUCAGUCUCUUCAUGAAUUCCAUCCAAUCAGUUCUGGCCUGGAGGCCAUGGCCCUCAAGUCCACCAUCGACCUCACAUGCAAUGACUACAUCUCCGUUUUUGAAUUCGACAUUUUCACCAGGCUUUUCCAGCCUUGGUCAUCCCUUUUACGGAACUGGAACAGCUUGGCAGUCACACACCCAGGUUACAUGGCCUUCCUAACUUACGACGAGGUCAAAGCACGAUUGCAGAAGUUCAUUCACAAACCUGGCAGUUACAUCUUCCGACUGAGCUGCACCCGGCUGGGCCAGUGGGCCAUCGGCUACGUGACGGCGGAUGGAAACAUUCUCCAGACCAUUCCUCAUAAUAAACCUCUCUUCCAGGCCCUCAUAGAUGGCUUCAGGGAAGGAUUCUAUUUAUUCCCCGAUGGCCGGCCCCAAAAUCCAGACUUGACAGGACUUUGUGAGCCUUCGCCUCAAGACCACAUUAAAGUUACGCAGGAGCAAUAUGAACUCUACUGUGAGAUGGGCUCCACCUUCCAGCUGUGCAAAAUCUGUGCUGAGAACGACAAGGACGUGAAGAUUGAGCCCUGUGGUCAUCUAAUGUGCACCUCCUGUCUCACUGCGUGGCAGGAAUCCGAGGGUCAAGGCACAGGCUGUCCAUUCUGUCGCUGCGAGAUUAAAGGUACCGAGCAUAUUGUUGUGGAUCCAUUUGACCCCAAGGACAACAGCGGGAGCUCCUGCAGGGGCCUAUUUGGGGCAGAGGGCGCUCCGUCGCCUUGCUAUGAUGACGAUGAUGAUGACAGACUUGAAGACCCCCACCUAAUGAUGAGCAAACUUGCUUGUACAAAGGUGGAGCGUCCCCCGUCCCCCAUGUCCGUGACUCCUCAGUCAUCCCUUCCACCCGUGCCACCCAGACUAGACUUGCUUCCACACAGACCCCCUAACCCACCUGGUGCCUCCAGUCCAGGAGUCACUGCAAAGGCAGCGUCUCAUCACAAAGACAAGCCCCUUCCUCUCCCCCCAGCGCUGAGGGAUCUCCCACCUCCACCGCCUCCAGACCGCCCCCACGCAUCCGCCUCGUCCUCGGAGGGGCGCUUGCCGAGACGGCCCCUACCCUGCACGCCCGGCGAGGCUCCCAGAGAUAAACUGCCUCCAGCACCCCCAUUCCGACCGCCCACUGACUGGAACUCCCGGCCUGUUCCCAAAGCCCCGACAUCCUCGUCUUCAUCCUCAACCAGUCAAGUCUCCGUUCUGGGUGUGGACAUGCGUGCGGGUGUCAGGGAGCUCUCCAACCGACACUCCCUCCCUUUGGCGUUGCCCUCUGCUCUAGACACACGCACAGACCCGCAGAAGAACAAUAACUCUCUCAGUUUGGACCAACAGCUGAACUUUGUCUCAGUGGUUGGACACGAUUAUAACAACCCCAAAGUCAAACCAUCAUCUUCUGCCAAUGCCAUCUACGCACUGGCAAGCAGACCCUCUUCAGCUGUGAGGUCAGCGACAGGCGAGGAGUCCCGUGACAGUGAGGAGGAGUCAGAGUACAUGAUCCCCUCCUCUCGGCCCAUCCUGCCCGCCGUCGCAUCGCCACCUAUGGGAGAGAGCCCCCCGGUGUCGAGGUCCUCGCAACCUCACUGUGUCCUUGCUAUUCAGGCGCAGGCUCAAACCAUUGCUUUCAACCCACGGCCGACACUAACGGAACUGGAGGACGGCCUUCCAAUGUAUGAGGCCAUGUACAACAUCCAGGCUCGAUCGCAGGAAGCCAGUGAUUCAGAUUAUUCAGAACUCCCCCCUCUGCCCAUGACCAACGGCCCCAGGGAGCACACAGCAGAGGAUAGGGAGGAUGAGGAUAACGGAUAUGAUUUCCCUCACCCACGAUUGCCGAUGCCCCCGAUCCGACGGACCUUUUCGGAACUGGGAGGGUCCUCCUCAUCAACUUCAUCCUCCUCGUCGAGCUCAUCCUCAGCAGUAGCUUGCAUGUCAGAGUCCGCGGAAGCCCCAGAGAGACCUCCCAAGCCUCUCCCAAGACGCAUCAAUUCAGAGCGUCGACCCAGCCCCGUCCCGCCAGUCCCUGGCCCUCCCAGUUGCGGGGCAUCUGGAGGAGACGUCAACCCUCAGAUUAGCAGCGAAAUCGAGCAUCUCAUGAGUCAGGGAUAUUCGUACCAGGACAUCCAGAAAGCACUGCUGAUUGCACAGAACAAUAUCGAGAUGGCCAAGAACAUUCUGAGAGAGUUCGUCUCUAUUCCCUCCACGGCGCACAUUUUCACAUAGCGCACUUGGCCAUCUCGCCCUGGCUCUGCUUGAUCUUUUUUUUUUUUUUAAGGUCGGCACGGCUCGUUGCCUGCAGCGUGACCCUCUCUGGUGCUGUAGACACCCCCGCCCUAUUUCGGCCCGUUGUGGAAUUUUGAAUUUGGCUGGCGCUCGCAGCAUCUCUUUCAGCAGCCUUCUCAAACUGCGACAAGAGCAUCUUGCCAGGCCCGAGUCGCGAAGUCCAAAACAGGACGCCUUUCGGAAGCCUCGCCAAAAAUGUAACCAAGACCUCACGAAGAAAAUGUAUGUCUAUAUCAAAGUUUAAUAUAUGGUUAAAUGUAUAUUAAAUGUAUGUAAUAUAUACAAGUCAGUAUGUGAAACGAUGUCCCCUUUGAGGGUCGCUCUUGGUUUAAGCGCCAAGUGUGCCUCUUGUCAAAACAGCGAUUCGAGCGUUGACUUGAAGAUGACUCAGAAUGGCACCACUGCGUUUGUGCGAGUGUGUCUGUGUGCGUGCGUAUGUGCUUAGUAUGCAUGUUUGAGUGUGAAUAGUUUCUCCAAAUCUUUUCCAUACCAUGACCAAAUUUAAUUUGUGAUUGUUUUUUUCGAAUGAAAAUGACAGAAGGAAGUUGGAAAUUACGCAACAAGUGUUUGAAAACAAACAGUUGUCCAAAAUGAAAUGCAGGAAUAUUGAACUUUAGUUAAAUACAGUCAUACUUAGUGUUUUACUUGCGUACCUCUAAGGGAGCCCAAGAUCCCGGUAAUUGCAAUGAUCUUGACAACGGGUGUCAAACUCAUGGCCCGACGCCCAGAUCUGGCCGGCCACAUCAUUUCAUGUGACCUUCAAAAUCAAAUCAAGUACGUCAGUUUCCAUGAUGCUUGCUCAAAUCUGGACCGUAAUUUGAAAUCGUCUUUUGUAAUAAAUAGCGGUGAGGUAUUACAAGCAUUUUCUUGUCACCAAACCUGUUACCACAGUAACUUGAACAACAAUGUCAUAUCUAUUAUUCUUGUCGACUGAUUUCAAUCCUAGUUAUCCAGUAAUUUGUUGGUCGUGUACUAUUAUGUAAUAGUAUGAGGAGGUGAUAAAACAUUUACUGCUUUAAGGUUUCACAGUCCGAAUGGCCCUCUAUGGGAAUCUGUAACUACAAUGUGAACCGUGACAAAAAAAAAGAGUUGGACACCCCUGAUCUAGAAUUAGCUCAUUGCGGUUACCAGGAUCUUUUUGAAUGGUGCAAAUUAGUUUCUUUCAAACGUUCACAGGUAUGACUCAAUUCAAAAUGUAAAAUGAAAAUUAAGUUCUCUGUGUGUCUUAACUCCGAAGUCUUUGGCCACUUUCUUCUGCCAUUUCAACCUUAAACAUACACAUUAACGAAAUAUUCUAUAAAUAUGCAUCAACGUGGAAUUCCGGCUGUCUAGACAAAUGCCACAGAGCUCUUAUUUUUUUGAACAACAUGGCUUUGGUACUAAAAUUUAUCAUGUUGUUGAUUCCAGCUAAUGUUGCGGAGGACGUGACGCAAGGGAUGGCGCUACACCGGGGCUAGAACGGCCUUUUGCCCCGUCAGAAAUCUGUGUAGCCCCCAGUUAAGACCCGCCAAGAAUUUUAUUUGGUGUUCUAAAAUAGAUAUUUAUAAAUUCUAAAUCAGCUGUCUAUUUAUCGGUCUAGCCGCCCUUGAGCCCAGAGAGAGAAAAACUCCUGGCGCUGUUCCUGACUUGCGUGUGCGCGCCUGAAAUGAAUGUGGAUGUUUUAAAGUUGACCACCGCGCAGUACCAGACGAGCUCUUGUUCUGCGAUCCGAGGCGGCUGACUUUUUUUGUUUUUUACAUCAUCGUCUGGCUGGUUCAGGUUCCGGUCUCCAGCUCAGUGCGGUGUUAUGAUUACAAAGAAAAAUAUUGUCAUUGGUUUCUUUUUGGUAAUAUAUUAUUGUAAUGUGAUCUUAAAUAUUGUUGUAAUUAAUUCAGAAGUGCUUCACUGCUGCUAAUAUUACAAUAGUGUUCAACAAAUUAAGCCUUAAAUGUAGAUUUUUAAUAUUCUUUCAUCUGUAAUCGUCCUUUAAAGUGACAGUAUCGCCAUUUUUCUGCAGUUGCUAAUGUAGCAAACUUGAACGUACAAGCAGCUUGAGAGCUGUCCACUCUGCAGUGUUCAAACUCUCUCUUUCUCUCUCUCUCUCUCUCUCUCUUUCUCUCUCUCUCUUUCUCUUUUGGGGGGGGUCGUUUCCAUCAGGUCAUUAUCGCAACAGUUAGCAAAAUGCAACACGGAAUUGGGCUUUAAGCUCCAGGGUUACACCCCAUAGCAAGGGAAGAGCUGAGGAUGUAACAGGUAGUAGGCUUGCGACUUUGUUGAACGUCAGCAGCAGUAGGGCCUAUUCACAAAACUAACUCAGGAAAAACGUUUUUAGACUCGGCUGAGUCGGAAUCAAUGAAGUUUCGUUGCCUUUUUUGGGGGGGAGGGGGGGGGAGUUCCUUUCCGUUAUUCUGACUGGCACAGUAUUUUUCAAGGUCACCAGACCUCUGUAGACAGCAGCUUCCAGGUACUCUGAAUGAACACCCACAUCGAGCUUUGAGUUACAUUGAUGCAACACUCAAAGUUCUAUAUAUAUAUGAAGAAUGUGUCUCUGAUGCUGGUACAAUUCUGAAUAAGCUUGUUCUGCUUUAAGCUGUCCAGUCGAUCCUCAUUUCUGAUUUUGUGUUCCUAGUUGCCUUGACCAACUUCUCGAAUGCGUGUGAGUAAUGACUUAAUGGGGUCUUCAUUAGUGUGUCAUUGUGAAAUAAUUUACUCACACGGUAACAGCCAAAUUGUGCUUUGAUACUGUCACUCUAAAGGCGCUUGCAGUCAUACAAAAGACAAGAAUGCUGUUUGCUGUCAUUUUUACAUUCCUGUAUUAAGUUGCUGCCCCCGCCCUACAGACAUUGUUUUGUGUAUUGCUCUGAAUAAUUCUCAAAAGCAGUGCCAUUUGUGUUGAGAUCAAGAUUAACUGAGACCUUUUGUUGUGGGGGGGGGAAGGGGGGGUCUUUGUGCACGCCGGCCUCUCUGCAUGUCGGAGUGAAUGUCGGCGCGUGUGUGUGUGUGUGUGUGUGUGUGUGUGUGUGUGUGUGUGUGUGUGUGUGUGUGUGUGUGCGCGUGUGUGUGAGAGAAAAAAGAGAAGAAGUCAGGCAGGCCUGUUUGUAGCCUGGGGUGGGUGAGUGCAGGUGUCUAUGCAAUGUGCAUGCAGGUGUGUGUGUGCGCGUGCGUGCGCGCGCCCAGCUUUGUUUUGUGUCGACAUCUGUACGGACGUAGCUACAGUAUGUAGGGCGCGAAGGGUAUUGUGUGUAGGUGUUUGCGUGUAGUGUGUGUGUGUGUGUGAGAGUGAGACUUCAUCCAAGAGCACCUGCUGUUUACCUUUCUUCUUAGCCCUCCAAAAAAGAAGGAAAGCACACCCCGGAUGGCUGUUUUCUCUGCGCAUGUAAGAGCAAUGUCGUGAGUGCUUUAUUGGGGAUGGGGCCACAAGAGGGAGCUGUGGUUCCACAUAUUCUCCUCAACAGUCAUUAAAAAAAAAAACUGCAUUAAGUUUACCCUUGUUUUUACCUCCGAUCAAUUUGGAAGAUUGCACAGUGCUGUCAAUAAAAUUGAACGCAGGAGACAUUUUCU
This is an RNA transcript of Hippocampus comes (tiger tail seahorse), 7334 nucleotides long. It is a transcript of the gene named Cbl proto-oncogene, E3 ubiquitin protein ligase, with no coding region annotated. Lineage: Eukaryota; Metazoa; Chordata; Actinopteri; Syngnathiformes; Syngnathidae. The record is from RefSeq and is a predicted model, not a curated record. The transcript has 18 exons.